AAGGUUUGGACAACUUCUAGGAACAUUUGGAACAAAUGAGAUGGGAAUAUGUAAACAAAAUUUAAUUCUAGAAGAGGAAAUUAAUUGUGAAACAACUUUAAGUGUACUUGAGGCAGCAACCCAUCAGUCAUUAUCCGGAGGUCAAGGAUUUUUCAAAUGUUCUUGUAAAACUAAAUGUUUAAGUAACCGGUGCAAAUGCAAGAAAAACGGGAGAAAGUGCAAUAGUCGGUGCCACACUGUCAGUUCAACAACUUGUGAUAACAAAUGAUUUUAACACACAUUUGUAUUAAGUUUUCAUGUUUUAUAAGUAAUAUUUGAUGAGUUUUAAUAUAAAAA
RNAcentral lists this long non-coding RNA (336 nucleotides) under Mytilus galloprovincialis (Mediterranean mussel). The record is from RNAcentral. Lineage: Eukaryota; Metazoa; Mollusca; Bivalvia; Mytilida; Mytilidae.